Cygnus atratus (black swan) is the source of this 436-nucleotide long non-coding RNA. RefSeq lists it as uncharacterized. The transcript is spliced from 3 exons. The record is from RefSeq and is a predicted model, not a curated record. Lineage: Eukaryota; Metazoa; Chordata; Aves; Anseriformes; Anatidae.
CCAUGUCCUGAUUACUGCCUGCCCGCUCUUUGAGAUGUUUGUGGCUGAUUGCACUGGGAGAGAGGAUAUCGCUUUAGAUGGAGUACUGAGCUGUUCCUAUAUGCCCUUGACCAUUGAGGUGCUGUGGUUUAAUUGUGUGAAACUGAGUUUCAAGAUUCAAGAUACUUCUCAGAUUGUUCUGCAAUGAAUUCUUCAGAUUCAGCAGCUUCAGCACGAGGGAGCCCGUGGACGUUGAAUUAACCAGAUCUCUGCAGCUAUCACAUGAAAAACAGUUUCUUUCUUCUGUUUCCUUCAGACUUCCCAGCCUUGUUUACAGAAGUCAGUAUGAACAGUAACGGGCAUUCACAAAUGUGCUUUAGAGGAACCUUUGGGGAAGGUGUCUCAGAGUGCUUUGUCAUUUGCUGACAAACUGGUGCCAGGACCAGAACUUAAUGAA